This 446-nucleotide ribosomal RNA is filed under the name uncultured organism. RNAcentral describes it as "partial 16S ribosomal RNA". It matches the Rfam family "Bacterial small subunit ribosomal RNA", at positions 335 to 797 of the family's 1533-position model. The record is from RNAcentral.
ACUCCUGCGGGAGGCAGCAGUGGGGAAUAUUGGACACUGGGCGCAAGCCUGAUCCAGCCAUGCCGCGUGAGUGAUGAAGGCCCUAGGGUUGUAAAGCUCUUUCACCGGUGAAGAUAAUGACGGUAACCGGAGAAGAAGCCCCGGCUAACUUCGUGCCAGCAGCCGCGGUAAUACGAAGGGGGCUAGCGUUGUUCGGAUUUACUGGGCGUAAAGCGCACGUAGGCGGACUAUUAAGUCAGGGGUGAAAUCCCGGGGCUCAACCCCGGAACUGCCUUUGAUACUGGUAGUCUUGAGUUCGAGAGAGGUGAGUGGAAUUCCGAGUGUAGAGGUGAAAUUCGUAGAUAUUCGGAGGAACACCAGUGGCGAAGGCGGCUCACUGGCUCGAUACUGACGCUGAGGUGCGAAAGCGUGGGGAGCAAACAGGAUUAGAAACCCGAGUAGUCCCA